AGCAAUGCCGCGUGAACGAUGAAGUAUUUCGGUACGUAAAGUUCUUUUAUUAGGGAAGAAAAGAUGGUGGAAAAACCAUUAUGACGGUACCUAAUGAAUAAGCCCCGGCUAACUAUGUGCCAGCAGCCGCGGUAAUACAUAGGGUGCAAGCGUUAUCCGGAAUUAUUGGGCGUAAAGGGUGCGUAGGCGGUUAAAUAAGUUUAUGGUCUAAGUGCAACGCUCAACGUUGUGAUGCUAUGAAAACUGUUUAGCUAGAGUUGGAUAGGGGCAAGUGGAAUUCCGUGUGUAGCGGUAAAAUGCGUAAAUAUACGGAGGAACACCAGAAGCGAAGGCGGCUUGCUGGGUCUUAACUGACGCUGAGGCACGAAAGCGUGGGAAGCAAACAGGAUUAGAUACCCUGGUAGUCCACGCCCUAAACGAUGA
RNAcentral lists this ribosomal RNA (423 nucleotides) under Candidatus Phytoplasma solani. Its description in RNAcentral is "bacterial SSU rRNA". It matches the Rfam family "Bacterial small subunit ribosomal RNA", at positions 390 to 812 of the family's 1533-position model. The record is from RNAcentral. Lineage: Bacteria; Bacillati; Mycoplasmatota; Mollicutes; Acholeplasmatales; Acholeplasmataceae.